Molecule: ribosomal RNA, 253 nt
Filed under: uncultured bacterium
Lineage: Bacteria
Description: partial 16S ribosomal RNA
Rfam family: Bacterial small subunit ribosomal RNA
Source: RNAcentral
UACGGAGGGUGCGAGCGUUAAUCGGAAUUACUGGGCGUAAAGGGUGCGCAGGUGGUUUAUCAAGUCAUGCGUAGAAUCCCCGGGCUCAACCUGGGAAUGUCGUGUGAUACUGGUGAACUGGAGUACGGGAGAGGGCAGUGGAAUUUCCGGUGUAGCGGUGAAAUGCGUAGAUAUCGGAAGGAACACCGGUGGCGAAGGCGGCUGCCUGGCCUGAUACUGACACUGAGGCACGAAAGCGUGGGGAGCAAACAGG